This 889-nucleotide long non-coding RNA is filed under the name Salvia miltiorrhiza (redroot sage). RNAcentral's name for it is "long non-coding RNA (SMIL_LNC002003)". The record is from RNAcentral. Lineage: Eukaryota; Viridiplantae; Streptophyta; Magnoliopsida; Lamiales; Lamiaceae.
CUUCCCCCUUUUUUUUUUUUCUUUUAUUGCUGAAACAUCAGCUCACUCGCACAAACUAACCUACACACACCGCGCACAACUCCUUGUUCCUCACCUAGACCACCACCGUCUCGAUUCCUCCUCCUGCGGCACGACUGCCGCCGGUCACCUCUCCUACCUUCUCUCUCUGACCGCAAAAGAACACACACUACACUCACGGAUUCGAAAAUACACACACACUGACACACGAAGGCAGCCGCCGGCGAGCCAUGGCUACCGCUUCUCCUUCAACCCCUAUCACCAUCUCUCAGCCCCCUAAUCUCCCUCCUCUCUCGAAAAGGAAACCCUAGAUCCCCAAAUCCUUAGCACCUACUCUCGAUUUCCGGCGACCAUAGCAGCGAUGGCCGCCGCCGCGUGAACUCCCUUUAUCUCCAGCAGAACAGUAGCAAACCGCCGCCGCCGUCGACGCCCUCGAUUUCCGGCGCCCGACUGACUCGACUCACACAGCCACAAGCCCCCCCUCCUUACCCCUUCGUUUCUCAGAACACCAAUGACAGCAGGAGUUCCGCCGCCGUCGGCCCUUAUCCGGCAGAUUAGGCAACAACACUCACACAAGUUCAACUUCUAGUCUUGUUCUGCCUUCCAUUUUCUUGUGUUCUCAUUUGUAAGACAUUUACAUCUUAAUGCUAUGCAAACUCAGACACAGACAAAUAAGUAUAUAUAUAUGCCGAGAUAAAGCCAUGAAUGCGUUUUGGAUUUGAACUCUGUUUUCGAUUGGUUAGUUGUGAAGAUUCAAAAUUUGAUGUUGAAAGCUUGUGUGAAAGUUUGAACUCGAAAAGUGUAAACUAUGAUCAGUUGAGUUAGAAUUUACCUUUCAAGAGUUUCUAAUUGACUGGUGCUGUGAUUUCUG